UCCGGGCUCUUCAGACUUGCUGCAGUUUUAUUUCUUCUGUCUUAAAGACAACACUCGGAGAACAAACUUCACCCCGCUGUGUGGACGGUGAGAGGACACAGAGCUCACCGUGGAACUGACUUUAAGAAAUCUACUUGCGUCUCAGAGGGGUGGCCUGGUUACAGCACAUCAUCUUCCUCCUCCUCCUCCUCCUCCUCUUCGUGUGGCUGGUCGUGGUCCAGCUGCAGGACCCCGCCCUCCUGCUGUCAGGACGGAAACACAACAUGUGAGCAGAGCGGAGGAAAACUCCAGGAUCGUUCUUCGGACAGAUUUUUUUUAUUCCAGGGCUUCACUUUGGAUGAGCCAGCACGAAGAGAGAGGGCGAUCCACUUAGACUUAGACUUACACAGAGGGGGAGGGAGAGAGCGAGAGCAGCCAGAGCAGAGAGCUCCAUUAGAGACGAAAGAGAGGAGGCAGCAGGACGGAGGAUGAAGACGCUGCCGAGCGUCUGAAACACAAACAGGUAAACAAAAAAAAAAACCCGCUUUAUUCAUUUAUAAAAAAAACCUUUGUUUCAGAAAUCUGUCCUCUGAGUUUAAACCAUCUAAACUUAGAAUCGUUAGAUUAGUUCCUUUUAAGGUUUACUUUUAAAGAAAUGUCACAUUUAGAUCUCUCCUCUUUUUGUUUCAUGUAAACGUUCAGUGAAAAUGGAUUUUUCUGAUUGUCCGACAAUCAAAGCUCUGCUGAGCAGUUUCAUUAGUCUUCUGAGUCUCACAGUAAAACUCCAAAUAGUCCUGCUUUUUUCUGCAUUUUUAGUUUGAGCAGAGCAGUGUGAGCAAAGCUGUUUGCAGGAAAAUAUCGGAAAACUAAAGGUUUAAAAGUUGUGAAUGAAUGUGUGAAAAUGAAUGGAGGAUGCACAGAAUAAAGAAGAAAACAUAUGUGAAGCACUGCAACAGUUAUGGUGUCAGAGCAGCAGGUGGUAUUGUGCGCUGUGCAGACUCGGUUCAGGGUCAAAGGUCAGGCUCGUGCACUUCACUCAGAGAAUGUGUAAAAAUGGUUUGACACACAGCAAAUAUAAGCAUGAUGGUCCAAACUUUAGUUUUUGGUUCGCCUGAAGGCAGCUAUUAGGUUAGCUGUAUGCUAAAUGUCUGUGAUGAAGCUCCAUCGUGUGCUUGGUGUUCAGUCAGAUCAGAGCUUUAAAUGGUUUGAAAUUUGCAUUUUAAAGCCUCAACACUUGUUUGUAGAGCUGGUUUGACCGUAUUUAGACGAGCUCCGUUAUCGGCUCAUGCUAAUACAGCGAACUGUCCGCAGACUUUUAGCACAGGAGGGCACUGACUCAUGGCUGAAGCCGGCCUCAAGUGGCCACCAGAGGAACUGCAGCUGGAGAUAACCUAACAAACUAACGGCUGUCUUACAAAUAUCAUCUGCAAAUCUACCAGAAAAUAAAUAUGUGACAUCUGGGUAAUAUUGCUGUCAUAAGGAAGAAGGAAGUUUAGAUGCUUUUAUUAUUUUGUGCGUUUGAGAAUGGACAGCAGUAAAUGAGUGAAUGUUUAACACGUGUUCACAAACGUGGGGUCACCGGGUCUUUAACUCAUCUUUGGCUUCCAGUGGGAAUGAUUAUAAUACUGCCCGUAGUAUUUGAUGUAGUAUUGUGUGUAGAAAUCUCUGUUGCUUUAAUACAUGCUGUGUGUGUGUGUGUGUGUUUCCUGGCUGUUGUGUCGCUC
This 1703-nucleotide long non-coding RNA is filed under the name Oreochromis niloticus (Nile tilapia). RNAcentral describes it as "lncRNA (ENSONIG00000033496.1)". The record is from RNAcentral. Lineage: Eukaryota; Metazoa; Chordata; Actinopteri; Cichliformes; Cichlidae.